CCACGCCCUAAACUAUGUCAACUGGUUGUCGGGGAAGCAAUUCCUUGGUAACGAAGCUAACGCGUGAAGUUGACCGCCUGGGGAGUACGGCCGCAAGGUUAAAACUCAAAGGAAUUGACGGGGACCCGCACAAGCGGUGGAUUAUGUGGAUUAAUUCGAUGCAACGCGAAAAACCUUACCUACCCUUGACAUGCCAGGAACCUCGCAGAGAUGUGAGGGUGCCCGAAAGGGAACCUGGACACAGGUGCUGCAUGGCUGU
This 259-nucleotide ribosomal RNA is filed under the name uncultured bacterium. RNAcentral's name for it is "partial 16S ribosomal RNA". It matches the Rfam family "Bacterial small subunit ribosomal RNA", at positions 795 to 1052 of the family's 1533-position model. The record is from RNAcentral.